RNAcentral lists this unclassified non-coding RNA (337 nucleotides) under Hevea brasiliensis (rubber tree). Lineage: Eukaryota; Viridiplantae; Streptophyta; Magnoliopsida; Malpighiales; Euphorbiaceae. The record is from RNAcentral.
UAAAAUUUUAAUUUUAAAAAUUUUGAAGGGGCAAACAUUAAUUCUUUUUAAAAAAUGUAAAAGUUUAUAGGUGAAAAUGUAAUUUUAAAUAAUUUUGGGGGGCCAUAGCCCGAGUAGUUUCGCCCCUGCUUUUUCCAUAAUUUCUUUGAUGUACGAUGAAUUUUUUUUUUUUUAGAAUUUACACAUACAAGUAAAUAUUUCAUUGGUGUCAAAAAGAACUCGUUAAACUCCAUUUAUGUAAGUUUAACCAAAAAAGAAAAAUUGCAGUAAAUUGACAGACAAAUGUAAAACUCAAUUAAUUCUCAUGACAUGGCCCAUUUAUUUUGGAAUGUCUUAG